This 267-nucleotide long non-coding RNA is filed under the name Sarcophilus harrisii (Tasmanian devil). Its description in RNAcentral is "lncRNA (ENSSHAG00000022793.1)". The record is from RNAcentral. Lineage: Eukaryota; Metazoa; Chordata; Mammalia; Dasyuromorphia; Dasyuridae.
CUUUCAAGCCAUUUUUCCUGUGCAAUAUUAUUCCGCAUGUUGUAAGAAUGACACAAAAGAAACUUUGCCAAGGAUUCUAUCCAGGCCCAGAUAACUGUCAAGACCAAUUAUAGAAGCUUGCCAUUCUGCUCUUUUGGAGAGAUGCUGACUUCUUCCUUAUCAAGUGAGGAUUAACACAAUUUGAAGUGUAAGAGGCCAGACUGUCAGUUGCAGAGAAGAGCAGAAGAGGAGGACAAGAACAUUCUUAUGGAUCUGAUUGAAUAUCAU